UACAGAGGGUGCGAGCGUUGUCCGGAAUCACUGGGCGUAAAGGGCGCGUAGGUGGCGGCCCAAGUCCGUGGUGAAAGCUCGCCGCUUAACGGCGAGUCGGCCACGGAGACUGGGUGGCUCGAGCACUGUAGGGGCAGAUGGAAUUCCGGGUGUAGCGGUGGAAUGCGUAGAGAUCCGGAAGAACACCAGUGGCGAAGGCGGUCUGCUGGGCAGUUGCUGAUGCUGAUGCGCGACAGCGUGGGGAGCAAACAGG
RNAcentral lists this ribosomal RNA (253 nucleotides) under uncultured bacterium. Its description in RNAcentral is "partial 16S ribosomal RNA". It matches the Rfam family "Bacterial small subunit ribosomal RNA", at positions 524 to 776 of the family's 1533-position model. The record is from RNAcentral.